Podarcis lilfordi (Lilford's wall lizard) is the source of this 10339-nucleotide non-coding RNA. NCBI's taxonomy places the organism in Eukaryota, Metazoa, Chordata, Lepidosauria, Squamata, Lacertidae. The record is from the annotation of a GenBank genome assembly.
GGAACCCUUGGCUCUCCAGAUGUUGCCGAGCUACACAUCUCAUCAACUUCAUCAACUUAAGAAGAACAAUAGCCAGAGAUGAUGGGAGCUUUAGUUCAGCAACAUCUGGAGGGCUAGAGGUUCCCCACACCUGGUAAACAAAGUAACCACAUUGAUCAUCCACAAGAUGACCCAAAAUAAUAAUAAUAAUAAUGCUUGCCAUGUGGGCAAACGCUACCUUCCACUCUUAAGUCUGGGUGAACCAGCCCUUAAUGCAGUGCAGUGUGUAUGUGUGUGUAUAAUCUUCACGUGUAAGGUGUCUAAAGAAGCAUUGAAUGCACGCACCGCAGGGCAUACCACAAUAUAAAAGCCCCUUCCCUCUCCAUGUUUCCUACCUGUCUCAAUGAAAGGCAUUUUGCUGAUACUUAAGGUUUUGUCUGGGGCAGCGUCUUGAAUCUCUUCCCCCACCCCCUCAACCCCAGUAUACCAUUUUUUCAGCUGAUUAGUACUUUGCAACCUGUGGUAUGCUCACACAACUGAAUGGCCUUGCAGUGAAUGUCCAUAGUCAGGGAAAGACACUGUAUUAGAGUCCCUCUCUUGCCUCCCCACUGCCCUGCGGUUCCUCUCUCAAGGCAGAAAGUUGCAUUCCCUGAUUUUCACAAUCUGGCUGUUGCUUUUCCCUAUCACAGAGCUAGUGUGUGGGAUCCUACUGACUGGGCCAAGGAGCAAACAAAAGCAAGAAAAACUGAUGGGUUGGGAUGUGUGUGAAAAGACAAUCAUUAGAAAUGCCCAGAUCUAAUGCUACUACUGAAUGAUGCUAUUUUACUCACUUUCUGUACUGCUCCCUGAUUUGUAAUGCCAGUAGCAUCUGGCCAGCUACACCUGACACAUCUCCUCCCGAGUUUUAGGCUCCUCUUUUCCAUGGGUCCUAGGGAGUAUGGAAGGUGGGUCAUUUAAAAAGAGAUGACAAGGAUCAGUAAAAUACCCAACUCCUUCCCCAGUAACAUAUUGCUCCUUCCAGUGAUUAUCUUAAACCUCACCAAUUUAACUUGAUUUCAAUUUAACCCUGAUUUCAGCCAGAACAUGGAGAGCUUUUUCUGGCUGGGAUGUAACUUUUAACUGUAAUAAAAUUACUUGCUUGUCUGGAUGGGGGAUGGAGAAAUGCAACAUUUAUCUUUUAUGUAGUUGGAAUGUAGCAGUCACAUCCCUUGAAGUGUCCACUUUUGCCUCUGGCCCUUCCCACCCCUGGUUUUCAGGUCCUGGGCAAGUUCCCCAUGUGGGAAUGCUCCCCUCAGGCUGGAACAGGUUCCCCAUGCUUGGUUUUAAUCAUACAUCCAAAUCCAGGUAUAUACUGUGUUUCAAAACUUGUUUUCCAUGCAGUACCUGAUUGCCUUGCUGGCAGGGACUGGAGAAUCUCUGAUUUUCUGAUUACCAAAAGUGCCCCUAAUGAAUGAUAGUAGAUAGAUAAUGUAAGCCAAUUGCAACUUCAUAAAAAGUGAAAACAGGGUGUUUUUAAAAUACUGCGCUUAGUUUUGUAUGACUUCCAGGGUACCCUACACAGUACAGUUGUAUGAAAUGAAACAUAUCCUGCCCAGGAUUAAUAAUCUAAUGUUGGGUUGCAGCAGGACUUAGUUUUCUCAGUGUGCCUUCGUGUGAGGCUGUGUGUGUGAUAUCUAGCAUUAAUGCUGGUCAAAUCAAGUAUAGUUGCCAGUAUCAGCUAAUCCUCAAAUGACAGUCUCCUCUUGCAGAACUUUGGUCUUUCAAAUCAUCAGGUGGAGGGGGUAUGCAUUAUUUCUUUGCUUUGCUAUGACACUGCUCUAGCCAUCUUGGGAGUCCUGCUGUUUAUCAUUUAACAAAUGCAUUAAUCUCUGUGUGCGUGCUGGGGAGUAGGAAUGAAAUGGUGUCAUGGUAACAUAAGUGGUCAUAUAUUGCUUAUAUAAAGACAUAGCCAGCAUGAAAUUGGCUGGAAAGUAUUUGUACUCUCAAAUCAUUAUGAAACCGAGGAGGAUGACCUAUUCCCCAACAGUUGGGCAGAAACUCAGCUGUUCAAGUGGUCAACUCCUAAUGAGAAAAUUGUACACGGUGUGAUUGGUCCUAAGAAAUAAUGACACUGAAAGCAUUUUUUUUAAAAAAUAAAAAAUCUGCAGAAGUACAUAAUGCUGCCUGAGUCGGCAAACGAAGGUUUGCAGGCACACUUAAAUGAAAUUUCUGAGAAAGAAACAGGGUUUUAGCUUAGCCUUAUCUGCUAACUUUGUACAGUGGUACCUCAGGUUACAGACUCUUCAGGUUACCGACUCAGCUAACCCAGAAAUAGUACCUCGGGUUAAGAACUUUGCUUCAGGAUGAGAACAGAAAUUGCGCAGCAGCAGGAGGAGGCCCCAUUAGCUAAAGUGGUACCUCAGGUUAAGAACAGUUUCAGGUUAAGAACGUACCUCCAGAACAGAUUAAGUUCUUCACCAGAAGUACCACUGUAUAUGCAGGGAAAUUAGAUUUUGAAAUUUAGCACCGGGGAGCUUUGAAACAUGCUAUUCCACAAUCAGCAGUCUGAAGCAGGGCAGUCCAGGAAGAACAGCAGUACAUUUAAAUUGUUCUCUUAGGCUGCAAUCCUAAACACGCUGACCUGGAAAUAAGUGCCAUUCAGUUGAAGUGUGGCAUUCAUACACAAAGAAAGGCUUCCUUUUUAUUGGUCCAACUUGCAUCAAAUAUAUUUGGUUUCUCGUACUCUCGAAGAGCUGGAAGAAAAGCAUGCACACUCUUGUGAGCCAUUCCAGUCUUUGGUGAAGCAUGCAAUUCUUCAUCACUUUAGACUCCCAUUUAAAAACAACAGUCAGCAGUUGUUGAUGAGAUCUAAAUGCUUUAUUUUCAGAGGAGUGAAAUGGUAGGGCUCUUAGCAACGUUCUUCUUUCUCUAUCUCUCCCUCAUAGCUUUCUCUCUCUGUCUGUUUCUCCUUUCUUUCUUUUUUUUGCAAGAGUCUAAAUAUAUAUAUUGGAUUUUGUGCUGCCCCCUAGGUGAGAAGGCAAUUUAGGGCCCUCCUUCUUCCAACAGUUCAGGAAGCCAGGCUUAUAGACAGCUCCCUCCUGAUGUUUGCUAUUUGAGCCCAUAUUCAUUAUCUCAAGACCGGGCUUUAAUCUGUGAGUUGAGUCAGCACACUUCCAUGGUACCUGUGCUGAAGAACCAUGCUGGAUAUGUGCCAGGCUGAUGUCCCAGCCGAGAGAGGACAAUGAGCCGAAUGCAUAUUCCGAAAUUAAAUGUGAUUCAGAAAUGGGAAGUAGCCUGGGAAGUAGUUUUGCAGCUUCAAGCCAAAACAACUGUUGGAUUCCGCACAACCUUAUUAUGCUAUGAACUGGAAUGCACAUUGCUUUUUCUUUCUUUUCUUUUUUCUUUUAAAAAGAAUCUCUUCCUUCACUUUCUUUAUCACAUCAGCCACAUUCAGAGGUGAUGCCCUGCAGACAAAGAAGCCUUUUUAGCAUCACAGCUGAUUAUUACCAUUGUCUUUUUGCUGCAGGGGAAUAUCAUUGCUGAUUUUUUCUGAAUUGUACCAGGCAUGUGGAUCUUGAAGAAAGCUAUACCACAUAGUGAGUCCACAGUUAGUGCCUCAUGUUAACAAUUCUUUAUCAUUUUGCUUAGCUAUGCAGUCUGACAAUUCAAUUAAUGGCUGUCAAACACCAUACUAAGUCUGGAAGUCUAGUCAAACCUAUCUGGAUCUUCUUGGGUUUUCCUCCUCUUCUUAUAUAAUCACUGUAUAUCAGCUAUUCUGCAGAUUUCUGGGUCCACAUUAUUCAGGAAGAGCCUGAUAACACAUGUCUACUGCUUGAUGGUUGCAACAUUAAAUGAUAAUUCGAAUGUAUGAAGGACCUAUCACAGGUAUAAGCUUCCAUUGGCUUCAAAUAUACUGGCCACAUUCACACAUAACAGCAAGCCAGACUUUCUGUCUUCUUGUGUUUUACUGUGAACAAGUGGUAUUGCUAGUCUGGCCGGCCCAGUUGCUUCUGAUUCAAUCCUUUACUGGCAUGAAUCAUAGAAUCAUAGAGUUGGAAGAGACCACAAGGGCCAUCGAGUCCAACCCCCUGCCAAGCAGGAAUCACCAUCAGAGCACUCCUGACAUAUGGUUGUCAAGCCUCUGCUUAAAGACCUCCAAAGAAGGAGACUCCACCACACUCCUUGGCAGCAAAUUUCACUGUCGAACAGCUCUUACUGUCAGGAAGUUCUUCCUAAUGUUUAGGUGGAAUCUUCUUUCUUGUAGUUUGGAUCCAUUGCUCCGUGUCCGCUUCUCUGGAGCAGCAGAAAACAACCUUUCUCCCUCCUCUAUGUGACAUCCUUUUAUAUAUUUGAACAUGGCUAUCAUAUCACCCCUUAACCUCCUCUUCUCCAGGCUAAACAUGCCCAGCUCCCUUAGCCGUUCCUCAUAAGGCAUCGUUUCCAGGCCUUUGACCAUUUUGGUUGCCCUCCUCUGGACACGUUCCAGUUUGUCAGUGUCCUUCUUGAACUGUGGUGCCCAGAACUGGACACAGUACUCCAGGUGAGGUCUGACCAGAGCAGAAUACAGUGGCAUAUGAACAAUAUAGUAAUGCAACAAGCCAUGACUUCUGGUUACAUCUGAACCGGUGUGUGUGUGUGUGUGUGUGUGUGUCAUGGUUUGUUGCUCCCUAACAAGAAGCCAGAAACAGGAAAUCAAAAACAAAGCAUGGUUUAAGGUAGGCUAAUACUUAUGGCUUGCUAGGGAGAAACAAAGUAUAAUCACUGGUUCAAUAUGACCAGAAGCUAAGGCUUCCUAGUUUGUUUAUCCUGUUUGUGCCGGGGUGAGCAAUCAGGCUCACGAUAAACCACAACAAGACAGAAAAUCUGGCUUGUUGUUAUGUGCAGAAACAGCCAGUGACACACACAAAAGCAGUUCAUGCAUUCAGUCGUGAGAGGCCAAGCAAUAGACUCACGUGUGGACAACUGCUCAUUCCAUUCCUGAUAUUUGCCUAGCCAACUCCUUGGACCAAUAGCACCAAGGCCUACUGACCUGAAUGCAUUCAGUCUCUAGCCUCUGUAAGCCAAAAAAAGAACAUGGAAAAAGCUUCAAUCUCUAGCGGGCCUGACAUGACUAAUAACUGAAUGUUUUCAUUUGACGUGGAAGAUUAAUGAGUGACCUAUAACUGAAUCUACAUCUGUAGUGUCAAGAGAUGUUUCAGGUUUCUUUGUUUUUUUAAUGUAUUCUGGCCAGUGAAGUGACCGACCUUUUCUGUGUUUGUAAUGUGUUCCUGGACAUUUCCUUUGUACAGCCCAAAACCAAAGCUCAGGCUUCUUCUGUCCCUCUGCAAAGUGUUUCUCUCCUUCCUGCAUGAAGCGCUUCAGCAACAGUCAUCCUAAGAAGCAGCAAAGCUUCUUUCUAUUAAUACUCUUUUGUUUCCCAGGAGGUGUUACCUGCCCCUUCUGCUUGGAUGAACCAGAAUUUGCUUUAAAAUGUGCUUGGCUCCAGUUGCUGCCACUGUUAGUUUGGCUUUAAUUACAUGUUCCUCCAUCUGUUGCCAUGGAUUUGCACAGUUAGGUCUGUAAUUAACUUCCCAGCUCAGACGUUCAAGAAAAAUAUAUCAUAAAAAUGUCCACGCUUCAUUGAUUGUGAGGGUUUUCCCCCCUGCUCUUUUUGGUUCUGCUUUUGCUGUUGCUUUUCCAGUUAGGCUAGAAAUAUACAAAAUUGUGAUGGUGGUGGUGGUUGAAGAGGAGGGACUGUCCUCUUCGGUGGUCCCAUCAACAUGGCUAAAUGUUAUCCAUCCCCUCACCUGCAAAGUGGGUCAGCAACAGGUAGCAGCACUGCAGAUUAGUCCCCUUUCCAAUAAAAGGGGAUCUGGUGAGGUUCUAGCUUAGGAAAUGAGGUUAAGGAAGAUGGUAGUUAGAAGGAUGAAAAGCUAUGAACAAGACAGUGUGUUUUCCUUAUUAGAAAAAGAAAAUGAUAUAAGGUGACUCAAGCUUCCUAUCUGAAUGAUGUAAAAAGUGCACUACCUUAACCCACUGAAUGGUCUUGAGAGCGUCUUUUGCUGCAGAAGUAAUGAAAGUGUGCAGACCCCACCAGUCUCUUAGAUACAGUCCACUGGGAGUCUCGCAUAACAGCAGGUUAAAUAUGUGGGGAUGUAUCCAACAUCCUCGAUCCACGAUCACAGAGAACUUGUGCUAGUUCAAAGGGCAAGUUUUAAUGUGCAACAGAGGGAUCAAAUGCAACUCUUGCAUUAGUGGGAAUCUGUUGUGCAGCAGAUUGUACAGUAUCCUGCUUGUCAAAGUUAUGAGUAGCCUGCACGUGCAAAAUCUUGCACAGCAAAGUUUUGCUGGCACAAUGUACCACUAAGUGACUUUAACUUAGCACUAUGUUACAUACAACCCAAUACUUUCUUUAAAGCACACAAGUGCUGUGUGGCUGCUUAAUUUUACACAAUCGAUUCUGUUUCUUCUGUAGUCACAGGAAGGCCCCCUCCUUUUGACACAAGCAAAUUAGACUUUAGCUCCCUCCCUGGAUUUUGGAGAAUCUACCAGGUCUCCAUUCCUUCAACCCUCUCUUCUUUUUUCUUAAACAGAGUUUCCCAGGGCCCUCUGUUUCUGUAUCCCAGACUUAUUUGUUGCACUUGUUGGGUGUGAUUCGUAGACUCCCUAAAGGGUCAACCAGUUUAUUAAGCAUGCACCUGCCAUUUAAGCUGUCCAAUGGGGACAGGAGUGAAACUUUCCCCCUCCCCUCCAUCUCCUCUUCUGCCUCUGCUUCUGCUUCUGGACUUCUCUCUGCCACAGACUCUCCCUGCUCAAUAAGGCCUGUUACCUCUUCAGCUUCCGACACCACCUCCUCUCAGGUUUCUCCCUCUUUUUCCUCUGACCAUGCAUUGCCAUCCCAUCAGCAGUCCCCGAGCUCUGAGCUUUCUUCCCUUGGGAUUUUUCCAGCUUGUGCCUCCCACUACCCCUCUGCAUCCAACCAGUCCAUGACAGAUUGCCACUCCCUACCAUUGAUCCCACUUACAACUUUUGUCUGUUGCUCGUGUCCUCCAAGUCCUGCCCAAGCAUGGUUGGAGCUUGACUGGAACAAACACAAGCCAGAGAACCAAAAGGGCCCUUUGAGGGCUCUGGCACCAUCCUGUUAUGUAGUUCUUUAUUUCUCCUCCUACCCACAAGUGGCUCAUUUCCAAGGUCCACGUGAUUGGCACUUCCCUUUUCCAAAUCUAACAGCCAGGCAAAUAGAACUUGUGCCAGAGGGGAGAAAUGCAGGAAAGGGGAAAGCUUUGUAGUUGUUUCAGAAAUUUCUGCCUGGAGCUCUGAGGUCCCUGAUGUGGUGCUUGUGAUCACCAUGGUACCCUCAGAUGCACACCUUGGUGUCCACAGAUAUCCUACCCCUCCCAGUUUUUAUUUGUGUAUAUACAUAUAUAUAUAUAUUAAUAGAGUAUUUUUGUUCUGUGACAAGUUGUCUUUGGGAGAAGGGUGUUGCCUGCCUCUCCCCCCCCCUGUUCUGUUUGUUUGGGGGAUAUGUGUGUUUUGCCUGCUGAUGGGGGGGAGGGUAUUGGGUUCUGAACAUCACCAGAUUUUCCGCUGUGAAAUGGGUAUUUUAUGGUGAUCUCAACAUUUUUCUUAGGUUUUCAAAUGUGUCCCCAGGCCCAGAAAAGUGGGAUUAUGGGGCUACCCUUGUCCUUCAAGCAAAACUCAGGAAUGUGCUGAAGUACCAAUGAUUGUAAACCCUAACAACCUGGAUUCUUUACAUUUUUUUCAGAGCAGGUGUCCUAAGGCCAGGAGCAGAUACAAUAUCCUCUGCUUCCCCAGACAAGUCCUGGUGGCAGAAUCAUUUGCCUGCUGGGUGCCUUCUGUGGUUUUCAUUCUCCAAAGCGGGCAAUCGAUAGAGUAGGGUGGGUGGAAUUCUCCAAUCUUGAAUCUGCUUUGGUGUGGGGCCAGGGAUGGAUGUAUAUACCCGAAUUCCUAAGUCUGGAUCCCUGUUAGAUUUAGGGGUGGGGAGACUUCUAAAUGUUUUGGGUUUGCCAAGUUAAUACCUAACAUUAUGGGCUUAAAAAUCAAUCAGAUAGACUCAGGUUGCAAUCCAAUGCAUGCUUACCUAGGAAGAAGUCCUGUUGAACUCAACGGGACCUACUUCUGAGUACACUUCUAUAGAAUUGCAGGUUUUGUUUUUAACGUUGAAAUGCUGAAUUUUCUUCUUUUUUUCAAAAUGGAAAACCUGCCAUUCAGAUUCUUAAAAAUUAAAUAAAAUUGAGGGCAGUUUUUUUCCAGAUUUAGGAUUGAUCCCCUUUUGCCAUGAGUAGUUCUGGGUUAUUAUUCCUUUUCACCUACCAGCGAAUCCAUUUGAAUUUAACAGGGUAAAAUAACUGCGUUGCUUCGCAGCCAUCUUCCUACAUAGAUAUAUGUGUGUGUUCUUUCAAUCACAGCUUUGACAGGGGAUUUAUCAUUAUUAUUUUGCAAACUUUCUGGCAGCUUCUGACUGUCAACGCACAGCCUCGACCAACCCUCCUCAUAACCACUUCCUGCUGUAGUUGAAAUCAGACCUUGUGUAUGUGUGCUCCCAUAAAACUCCCACUUGAGCAUGGUUUUAACUAUGGAAAGGCAGCAUGCAAAUAGAAUGGUGGUGGUGGUAUGACUAUCAGCAGUAGGAGUACCAAGCAGCAAAAGCCAGUGUGGGAUGUGGCAUUGUUGGUAGGGAAGGAAUUCGCUAGGUCCACUUUUCAAAGCAGACCAGCCCAGUCCAAUGGUCCUGUACUUGCUUGCAGGAGCACAACCCCUGAUCAGAUUACAAAACUCUCUGGAUUCGGUAAUGCAGUUUUCAAGUACAAAAAAAUAAUAAUUUAAAAAUGUGUGCAUGGAAGUAUGUAUUUUACAGUUAAAAUGCAUAUUUGGUAGGAACGCACUGGGGGUAGGGGGGGCGGCAUUUGUCUUGGGAGAAUACAUACAAAAAUGUCUGCAGUCAUGUGAACCAUUCAACUACGAAAUUUUCAUGCAUUCUUACAAAUAAAAAAGCACUGCACAAAACAAGACCGAACCGACCUAAGAUUGAGUGUCAGUGUAAGUGACACAGGACAGAGAAUCCACCCCUAACUGCUGGCAAUUGCUGCAGAAACAUGAAUGUACCAUUUUAGCUCAUUACUGGGCCAACAGGAUGAAUGUUCUCCCAAUAUAACAAACCCGUUGACCAGGACAAGUGUACUUUCUCAUAGAUGAAUCAUCGCCGAUCGUAGGGGAGGGGUUGGUCUUGUGUCCUUGAGAUAUAUAGAUAUAUUUUUUGAAAAAUCCCCACAAAGGGCUUCAAACAAGCACUUUCACUUCUAAUGAAGAUUCAUCCCAUGAAUGUAUUUUGACCACACAACACACACCAGAGGUGCAAGGAGAAGCAGUCUGCUUUGCUUUUUGCUUUUUUUGUUUUUAAUUGUCAAGCACCACCACAUUACAGGGUGAAUCUACAAAGAUAAGUGCCGGAUGCUUUCUAGAAAAACUGUUGCCUGAAUGUGUGGCCGGUAAGCAAUGAAAUGCCAUUAAACUUUGUAUAGUGUCACAUAGGACUGCUCAGGAAAAGAAAAGAAAAACCAUUGAAAAGGAGGCGAAAUCGAGAAAUUAGCAGUGGUGGCUAAACCUUUACUUGAUUGCAUUAUAAUGUUGAGGCUGCCGGAUUCCUGCUAGCAAGAGAUUUGCACAUUGGUUUUCAUUCAUAUCUGCCUCAGAACCUUGCCCUCCUCCCUUUUGAUUUUCUGUAGAAUAAAAAAAUCCAUCUUUGGACUGCAGUUCUAAGCAUAUUUACUUGACAGCAAGACCUGUUGAACUCAGUGGAGUUUGCCUCCCAAGUAAACGUGUUUAGGGUUGCCCUCAAAAAGGAAAACAAUCAUUAAUCCUGACACUACACCCAUAAAAAACACGCAAAUCCUCAUUUUGCUAGAGGAUACCUGUGCUUGUCUUUUCUUUAACUGGGUUACAGCUUUUUAAAAAACAAAAUGCCUAGAGAGUAAUUAUUCUUUUUUCAAGCCUGCUUCUCUUAGGAAUCCAUUUUCCUUGCUCUACACCUAAGUGGAUUUAGAUAAACCUUCCCCCCCACCCCCACUCCUGAGGUAUUUCUGUACAGCCUAGGUAACCUAAGUCUCCUACCUAUACUUUAAUCUAGCUAUCUCUAUAUUUGCAUUGCUCUGUCUUAUCGUGAACCGGUCACACAAGAAUGACGGAAACAGUUUAUUGACUCCUUUUGUGCGUGUCAAUGAAAAAUUCAUUUGGGGUGCUCACACCCUCUUUUGAACUCAGAUUCUUGCCACUGUACAGUAUAUGGAGAUGCAUAGAGAGACUUUUUAUAUUUCUGAAUGUUGUACUUUUUAACUCCUUGCAAGCUUGGUAAUACACUAUCUAAAUGUCUAAAAAACAAUAA